AGUAGCAAUACUUAGUGGCAGACGGGUGGGUAACAUGUAGGUAUCUGCCCUUCGGCCUGGAAUAACACGAGGAAACUUGCGCUAAUACCGGAUAAGUCUUUACGGAGAAAGCUUUAUGCACCAUUGGAUGAGCCCGCACUUGAUUAGUUUGUUGGUGGGGUAAUGGCCUACCAAGACUUUGAUCAAUAGCUGAUUUGAGAGGAUGAUCAGCCACAUUGGGACUGAGACACGGCCCAAACUCCUACGGGAGGCAGCAGUGGGGAAUCUUGCACAAUGGAGGAAACUCUGAUGCAGCGAUGCCGCGUGAGUGAAGAAGGCCUUUGGGUUGUAAAGCUCUUUCGUCGGGGAAGAAAAUGACUGUACCCGAAUAAGAAGGUCCGGCUAACUUCGUGCCAGCAGCCGCGGUAAUACGAAGGGACCUAGCGUAGUUCGGAAUUACUGGGCUUAAAGAGUUCGUAGGUUGUUAAAAAAGUUGGUGGUGAAAUCCCAGAGCUUAACUCUGGAACUGCCAUCAAAACUUUUUAGCUAGAGUGUGAUAGAGGAAAGCAGAAUUUCUAGUGUAGAGGUGAAAUUCGUAGAUAUUAGAAAGAAUACCAAUUGCGAAGGCAGCUUUCUGGAUCAUUACUGACACUGAGGAACGAAAGCAUGGGUAGCGAAGAGGAUUAGAUACCCUCGUAGUCCAUGCCGUAA
RNAcentral lists this ribosomal RNA (690 nucleotides) under uncultured Alphaproteobacteria bacterium. RNAcentral's name for it is "bacterial SSU rRNA". It matches the Rfam family "Bacterial small subunit ribosomal RNA", at positions 81 to 805 of the family's 1533-position model. The record is from RNAcentral. Lineage: Bacteria; Pseudomonadati; Pseudomonadota; Alphaproteobacteria.